This 2510-nucleotide long non-coding RNA is filed under the name Arabidopsis thaliana (thale cress). Its description in RNAcentral is "potential natural antisense gene, locus overlaps with AT2G33050 (AT2G33051)". The record is from RNAcentral. Lineage: Eukaryota; Viridiplantae; Streptophyta; Magnoliopsida; Brassicales; Brassicaceae.
GAAGUUGAAACAGCGGGCUUUCGUGCAUUACAAAUCAUCGGCUCGGGUUACUUGAAGAAUCAGAGAAGAACCGAAGCAGUAUGUCAUAAGCGCCUCUAUCUCAACAAUCUACCAUGACAUUAUCAUCCAAUAGAGAGAUCGUAAUUAAGGGAACCAAGAGUUACAGAAACUAGUCAACUUCUUUCUUACAUCAGGUAACAACAACAUAUCCACAUACUAUUAUUUUCAUAUCACUUCUUCUUCUACAGUAUCCUUAUUAUUAAAACUGUCCCAUCUUGAAUCCAGAUUCAUAAACAAUCUAACUGGAUCUACUUGCUUGCCCUUAGCUGGACCAAGUAUCUUGACAAACCACUUCGGCUUGAAUGAAGCAAUAACGUGUGCCAUUACCAAUCCAAGUAACAGUCCAGGCCAAUACCCGAAAAACACUGCUUUCCACUCAAUCACUUCGUCCUCUUCUUCUUCUUCGUCUUCUUCCUUGGGAUAUUUUGUUGGUGGCGCAACGCAACUUCCUUGGAGAGGAAGACCACAGAGACCUACAUUCCCUUCAAAUGAUGAUUCAGCUUGCCCACUAAACUGUGGUCCCUGUGGUCUAGUGACUCGAGCUCCGUAACAUUUGCCAAAGACAUAGGAAUAUGGCCAGUGAAGGCGUUGUUCGAUAAGUUGAGCGCUAUCAAUUCCUUCAACAGACCAAUAGACUCAGGAAUCUGUCCUUCAAGUUUGUUUCCAGAGAAAUCAAUGGUGCUGUAGAAAUUAACAAAGAAAUUUGGUGGCAAGCUUCCAGUAAAGCUGUUAUCUGACAAUUCAAGUAUCCGCAGCUCGGGAAACGCGAGAGGACCUCGAUCAGGAGGAGAGAGAUGGCCGAAGAAUCUGUUUGAACGGAGAGUCAAGACAUGCAAAUUGGGUAGCGCCUUCAGCCAGAAAGGAAACGUGUCUUCAAUUCUGUUGUUGUCAACACUCAGAAACCUCAGAGAGGAGCAAUUCAAAAGUGAUUUUGGAAGCUUCCCGGUUAGUCGAUUAUAGCCAACGUCAAGCGUCUGUGUCUUAGCACCGCUAUGGAACUCGUCAGAUCAAGGACGAUGAGAGAGCUUCGGUUGCAGAUUGAGAGAGGUAUGUUCCCUGUGAAACUAUUGUUCCACGCAGACAAGUAGAUCGAACCGAGUGGUGGAGUAGGAAACGCUCCUGUCAUGGAGUUAUAGGCAAAAUCUAGUAACUGCACUGAUGAGUUAAGUAAAACUUCUGAAGAACCUUCGAAACCAGUCAAAGAAUUGUUAACAAGAUUUGCUAUGCUAAGACGAGGAAGCUUCCAAAACCACUCAGGUACUUUCCCUUUGAUUAGAUUGUUGGAAAUGUCUAUAUGCUCCAAGUUUUGAAGGGUCUUAAAGAUGUUUGGAAACUCGAUAAUGUCGCACUGGAUCAAAAUCAAGCUUAUUAAGCUCAAUGGAAACUCUGAAUCUGAACUUAAACUGGCUGGUAAUAACCUAUUUUGACGAAUAUCAAAGACCAACAAAGAUUUGAGAGGAGCGAAGACGCGUAAGUCAAUUGGGUGACUUAUGUUUAGGGAAGCAAGUUCAAGAUGGUUGAGGUUUAUGAGCUUUGAGAUAGGCUCUAUGAUUUUUCCUUCAAAUUGGUUAAACCCAAGGGACAAACGAACUAGCUUAGAUGAAGAAGAAGAGUUUGGGACAUCAAUAGAACCAGUGAGAUGAUUCUUUUUCAGAUCAAGAUAAGACAAGAAAGGCAAAGUGGGUAGUAAAUCAAAAGGUAUGGCUCCUGAGAAUUGAUUGUAAGAAAGGUCUAAAAAGGAAAGCUUUGUUAGGUUUCUUACAGGUGGGAAACUACCAGUGAGCUCAUUAUGGGAAAGGUUUAAAUGGGUAAGCAAGAUAAGGUUACUAAUUGAGGAAGGAACUUGACCAGUAAAGCUACUAGAGGCAAGAGACAAAACCUCUAAUCUGGUGAGAUUGCUGAAUUCAGAAGGGAGUGAAGAGGAAGUGAAGUUGUUGUGAGAGAGAUUAAGGUAACGAAGCUGAUGCAACUCAAAGAGACUACUGUUUGGUUUGAGAGUUCCAGUGAAGCAACCACUUGGGAGCUGAAGCUUCGUGACCGCACCAGUCGUGUUAUCACACUGGACUCCGUUUAAGUAGUCACUGCGGUUGCAGCCGUCAGAUUCAAACUCAUUCUUGAAUUGGAUUAGAGCUUGGAUCUGGUCAGGAAGACAAGCAAGAGCGUCGGUCGUCAAGAAGCUUGAAACGAAGACGAUACAGUAGAGUAAGAGUAGCGAGCAAAAAUGCAAACGCAUGGUGUUUGUGAUUGAACCAACAAGUUGAGGAAAUUAUUGAACCCAAAAAAAGACAUAUCAAAGAUUUGCUAUAUAUAUGUUAUUUUAAGCCGCCUUUACUAAAUAUGUGGGGUUUAAAUGUCACGUGAAAUGUCUACGAGUCACAUUUGUUCAUGAAGUAAAUUCCACGUGGACAUCUCUGACUAUAUAACUGGGAGUUAUAGUUGACUGUUAAAAU